This 77-nucleotide microRNA precursor is filed under the name Apaloderma vittatum (bar-tailed trogon). Its description in RNAcentral is "mir-1788 microRNA precursor family". It matches the Rfam family "mir-1788 microRNA precursor family". The record is from Rfam by way of RNAcentral. Lineage: Eukaryota; Metazoa; Chordata; Aves; Trogoniformes; Trogonidae.
CUUUCGCCGGGGCUUGUUUUCCGUUGCCUGUGGUUUGUUUCAGUGACUCAGGCAGCGAAAGCAAGUCUGGGAGGCUG